This 451-nucleotide ribosomal RNA is filed under the name Tomentella sublilacina. RNAcentral's name for it is "LSU rRNA". It matches the Rfam family "Bacterial large subunit ribosomal RNA", at positions 1742 to 2063 of the family's 2925-position model. Lineage: Eukaryota; Fungi; Basidiomycota; Agaricomycetes; Thelephorales; Thelephoraceae. The record is from RNAcentral.
AAUGUUAGACUCCUUACUUGCUCAAGCUAAAGCACUCUUUAGUAAUAGAGCAUUCAUCACCAGCCUAGCUACUCCCUAAGCCUAACCCAAGCUUUAGCAAGGGUAAUGGCUUAGGGAAUACAAGGCUAGGUGUGUUGCGCUAGCGCAGGAGGGGGAUAACAAACGGUGGUGUCACAAAAUCGGAGGCCACGACUGUUUACUAAAAACACAAUUCAGAGCAAUGAUGAAAAUCAUAGUAUUCUGGAUGAAAUUUGCCCGAUGCCAUUAACAUAAAAGAGGUAAUGGGAAACUGUUACUAAUUGAAAGUCUGGUUAAUAGCGGUCUUAACUAUGAGGAUCCUAAGGUAGCAAAAUCAGUUGGCCAUUAAAUGUGGUCUGGUAUCAAUAGUGUAACGAUGGUCUCACUGUCUCUACAACUUGCUCAGUGAAAUUGAAUUAUCCGUGCAGAUGCG